Non-coding RNA from Acanthosepion pharaonis, 98 nucleotides. The record is from the annotation of a GenBank genome assembly. Lineage: Eukaryota; Metazoa; Mollusca; Cephalopoda; Sepiida; Sepiidae.
UUGAAACGCUGUUUCUCAUCUGAUCACCGAAGUUAAGCAACGUUGAGCCUAGUCAAUACCUAGAUAGGUGACCGCCUUAGAAUAGCAGGUGCUGUAAG